Molecule: long non-coding RNA, 1999 nt
Organism: Bufo bufo (common toad)
Lineage: Eukaryota; Metazoa; Chordata; Amphibia; Anura; Bufonidae
Exons: 3
Source: RefSeq, a predicted model, not a curated record
UGUAAUGGAGGGGGCGAGGGAGAAGCACGAAGAAGUCACCAAGUCAUUCCCCCUAUGGAAGCGGCGGGGAAGGCGUCUUCAUCAGCGGGCAGGCCUGUGCUGGAGCAGGGAAGAAGACGGGCUGGGCCCGGGUGGGGGAGGUCACCCCAGAGGACAGCUCCGGCCAUUGCUGGUCUCGUCCCUGAUGACCUCCGUGACUAGAUGGUCAGUACUUCACAAGUGAAGGUGUCCGCGAAGAAUCCGGGUUUGGUCUAUAAAAGACCUACAUGAGAGCCGGUCUCCAGACCACCAGAAAUGCUCAUGUCUGGCUGAGGUAGUAGUUUGUGUAGUUCGGGGGCAGUGGUGUUUGCCCAUGGAGAUAACUAGACAAACUACUGCCUUGCCAGAUGUGGGAAGAUUCUUCAGGACGACUUCUACAGGCUUCUGUCCUCCUUGAAGAUCUAGGUACAUUGCAGCUGAAUCGGCGGGAUUUCACUGAAGUCAUAGUAUUGUUGCCUUCACUUUUUUUCUCACCAGGUGAAGUGUAAUAAAGUAACUUUUUUUGUUUGUAAUGUACAUUCUGUAUUCUACACCAAAUGAGUAGAAAAAAAGAGAGAAAGUUGAACAACUUGUAACCUAAUUUGCCAUCUUUAUCAUAUCCCUAUGAAGAUCUUUAUCCAGGGCAGGGCAGAUGUAUUUACAUCUACUGAACCUAUCUAAAUGGGUGAAAGCAGAGCCUCUGUUAUCUUACCGCAGCUCCAUUCCUUCUCAGUCCUGACCGCUAAGAGAACUUCAGCCACCUCAAUAGUGUUUAGCAAGAUCCUUCUUCGCCCUUAAAGGAAAAAGGGAGACGAGUGCCUUGUGGUAAUUAAAGGGGUUAUGCCAAUUUUGAAAGUUAUCUACAAGAUAGGGGCUAACUUAACUCAUCAGUAGAGAUUCGACUGCUGGGACGCCCACUGAUCCUGAAAACAGGGAUCCCAUUUCCCCGUCCUGUUGGAGCCGCAGACUGAGCUUGCGCCCUGCAUUCAUCCUCUACAGGACUGCCGUGGAUGGGUGAGUACAGCUCUGGGCGCAUGCUCAGCCUGCAGCUCAAUCAGGAGGGGGACAUGGGAUCCCCAUUCUCAGGACUGAUGGGGGUUCCAGCAGUUUGAUCCCUACCGAUUAGUUAGUGAACCCCUGUCCUGUGGAUAUGGAAUAACUUUUAAACUUGUCACAUCUCCUUUAAGCUUUUCAUUUUCUUGCAGCUCUGUUACAAAACAGUAUUGCAGGGAAAUAACAACAUUUUGGCACCAGGAAUGUGUUCUUCAAUUCCACUUGCCUCAAGGGAAUCAGUGGGAAUGGUUGACCAUGGGAUUUGUGACCAGGAAACUGGCUAAAAGUCUUAGCCAUGUGUAAGUGCGUGGUUAUUUGUCAGGGCGGAAUACCUGCCCAAUUUCCAGAACAAUGCAGGGAUCACGACCAGUUAUGGCAGCUGGAUAUGUAGAGUAUGGAAGAAUGGAUUCUAACAGGAGAAUUUUUUUUUAAGACUGGAUUUACAUAAUGUUAUGUAAUAGCUUUUUUUAAAUAAAUAUAUUUUUUGCUGUACUUGUAAAUGCCUGUUUGCAUGUAUUUGCUGCCACCUAGUGGUUGUAAGUGUACUUCCUUAUUUUCAACUAUGAGCGGGUCAAUCAGAUUGUUAUUGUCCCAAUGCAUCUAAGAUGAAAACUGAAGCAUCGUUACACAUAGUUCCUUUAGUUUAGCAUUUCCUUGGUGAUAACAUCACGCAAUCCCUGCAGUUCUUCUCUAUCUGAUAGAUGUGGGUCCUGAUUGUAUGGGACCCACAUCUAUCAGACUUCUUAUGGCAUAUCUUGUAGCUAUACCAUAAAAGUCCUAGAUGGGAAUACACUCUUUAAAAAGACCAUAUAAAUACACAAUGGUCAGCCACUAACAGAUGAUGUGAUUUAAAGGGGUUAUCCUGGAAAAUAUAUUGAUGACCUACCCUCAGGAUAAAUAAUCAAUAUCAUAUUGGUGGGGGUCUGAC